AUGGCGACGAUGUCCCUCGCCGCGGCCUCACCCCUCACCGCCUCCACCCCCCGCGGCCUCGCCGUGCCCGCGCCCCGCGCGCCAUUCCUCGGCCUCCGCGCAUUUGGCGCGUCGGCCACGCGGUUCGCGGGGCUGGCGGCGGCGCCGCGGCCGUCGGGGAGGGGCGAUGCGGCGGUGGUGAGGAUGGCGAAGAGGGAGCAGGAGCUGGAGGAGAUUCGGGCCAUGGAGACGGAGAGUCUGGAGCAGGAGGUGGUGGACCUCAAGGGGGAGCUCUUCCUGCUCCGCCUCAAGCGCUCCGCGCGCCAGGAGUUCAAGUCCAGCGAGUUCGGCCGCAUGCGCAAGCGGGUUGCUCGUCUGCUGACUGUGAGAAGAGAAAGGGAAAUUGAACAAGGAAUCAACAAAAGAAAUUCUAGGAAGCUUGACAGGAAAUGGAAACUGGGUAUUGUGGUUGGACCACCACCAUCUCUAAGGGAGAAGAAGGAGGAGGACUAG
This 492-nucleotide ribosomal RNA is filed under the name Triticum aestivum (bread wheat). Its description in RNAcentral is "partial small subunit ribosomal RNA". Lineage: Eukaryota; Viridiplantae; Streptophyta; Magnoliopsida; Poales; Poaceae. The record is from RNAcentral.